Molecule: ribosomal RNA, 468 nt
Filed under: uncultured bacterium
Lineage: Bacteria
Description: partial 16S ribosomal RNA
Rfam family: Bacterial small subunit ribosomal RNA
Source: RNAcentral
GACGAACGCUGGCGGCGUGCUUAACACAUGCAAGUCGAACGGAAAGGCCCUGCUUUUGUGGGGUUCUCGAGUGGCGAACGGGUGAGUAACACGUGAGUAACCUGCCCUUGACUUUGGGAUAACUUCAGGAAACUGGGGCUAAUACCGGAUAGGAGCUCCUGCUGCAUGGUGGUGGUUGGAAAGUUUCGGCGUUUGGGGAUGUACUCGCGGCUUAUCAGCUUGUUGGUGGGGUAGUGGCUUACCAAGGCUUUGACGGGUAGCCGGCCUGAGAGGGUGACCGGCCACAUUGGGACUGAGAUACGGCCCAGACUCCUACGGGAGGCAGCAGUGGGGAAUAUUGAACAAUGGGCGGAAGCCUGAUGCAGCAACGCCGCGUGCGGGAUGACGGCCUUCGGGUUGUAAACCGCUUUCGCCUGUGACGAAGCGUGAGUGACGGUAAUGGGUAAAGAAGCACCGGCUAACUACGUG